Molecule: ribosomal RNA, 432 nt
Filed under: uncultured bacterium
Lineage: Bacteria
Description: partial 16S ribosomal RNA
Rfam family: Bacterial small subunit ribosomal RNA
Source: RNAcentral
GAUGAACGCUGGCGGUAUGCUUAACACAUGCAAGUCGAACGGUACCUUCGGGUAUAGUGGCGGACGGGUGAGUAGCGCGUGAGAAUCUAUCUUCAGGUCGGGGACAACAGUUAGAAAUGACUGCUAAUACCGGAUGUGCCGAAAGGUAAAAGAUUUAUUGCCUGAAAAAGAGCUCGCGUCAGAUUAGCUAGUAGGUGGUGUAAGAGACUACCUAGGCUUCGAUCUGUAGCUGGUCUGAGAGGACGAUCAGCCACACUGGAACUGAGACACGGUCCAGACUCCUACGGGAGGCAGCAGUGGGGAAUUUUCCGCAAUGGGCGAAAGCCUGACGGAGCAAUACCGCGUGAGGGACGAAGGCUCUUGGGUCGUAAACCUCUUUUCUCAAGGAAGAUUCAGACGGUACUUGAGGAAUAAGCAUCGGCUAACUCUGUG